This is a long non-coding RNA of Onychostoma macrolepis, 1993 nucleotides long. RefSeq lists it as uncharacterized. The transcript has 6 exons. The record is from RefSeq and is a predicted model, not a curated record. Lineage: Eukaryota; Metazoa; Chordata; Actinopteri; Cypriniformes; Cyprinidae.
UAUGAACAACAGUAUGUCUACUACCUCCAGGUUUACAUUCAUAACUAAAGUCUUAAAAUACUGCAAAACAAAUAUGUAAAUGCCUUAGUUUCUGGCUAUUUUAAUUGUGGUUUUUUUUAGUUUUAUUUAAAGCAUGUUGUUGUCAAUUCGUUUUUUUUGGAAGAUUCAGUUUUUUAAACGCAAUAUGUGCCACAUGAAAAGAAGAUAGAAAGUACUACUAAUUUGAGGAAGACAGAAAGUCUUACUGAUUGGAGGAAGACAGAAAGUUCUACUGAUUGGAGGAAGACAGAAAGUCCUACUGAUUGGAGGGAUUCCUCGUGGAAUGCGAGGAAUGGUGAAGCAAAGCAAACAUCGCUGCCGACUCUGUGCCCUAAAACAACAAAAUGAUUGAUGCCGCAGUUUAAUGUUCGGGGCAUGUGGCAGAGAUUAAUUCUCAUUUGCCUCUGUGUAAACGCUAUCUUGUGCAUCUAAGGAGCCUGCUCAUUGUCUCGCCGAACAGGCAGGUUUUGAAUGAUGUGCACUCGCGUCUUUGUCAGCGUAUUAGGUGGAAUAUCUCGGUCCAUUCACGGACAAUGUGAUGAAUGAAACAAGACUCCAGGCUCAGAAUCUCUCACACCAUCAUCCAUGAUAUUGGCACGCGAUACAAUGAGAUUUAGCACGUAGGCCCUGCAGGUGCUUUCUGCCCUGUGUUUCCCACACCUGGAAGGGCACCAAAGGGCAUGGACACCUUACACGCCUAUUCAGCAUCGUGUCUCGCAGGCUCCGCCCACUCUAUAGGAUACACUACUCCGCCAGCGUGCUAACAAUGAGCAUCGCUAUCACUGUCCAUCUAUUCAACGCUGGGCGGGACGCACUUAUCAUAAAGGCUCCUGUCAUUUUGAUGGCCGUUAUCAUUGAAUACGCCUUCUUGAAACCAGACAUAAAAAAGACUGCCACCUUGGGAGGCCCUGUUCCGAUCCAUCUCCAAAGGAAGAGAAAGAGUCGGGGUCAGAACCUCCACUUUUCAGUUGUCAUUUAUCACAUCAAUAGAGACUGUACAUUACACGGGAUUAAUCGGGCUGAAUUGAGGCACCCAGAGGAAAAGGAUAUACGGGGACGGCUUGAAGAUCAAGAGAUAAAAGAAAGUGGUAAAGAAAGAACUAUGGGAUUUUGAGCCCUUUGAGAGGUGGCCAAUCUGGCACGGAGUAGCGGCGCCAGCGCCAGCAAUAUGUCUUUACUGUAUUAUGAGCCACGUACUGGAAAGCUCAGUACUGUCAUCAAAUGUCAUCAGAAGGCUGUAAUUGGACUGCAUCCUCAGGCUUUCGGAUCAGAGACUGCAGAAGCUAAGCGCGUUGGAUUUGCGUCCUCGGAUGGCCCCGUUGUAGAAAUGAGCGAGCUGAUGGCAUGCGGUCAUUAUUUGCCCGCCACAUGCCUGCCAGAUUAGUCUUGUGACUACAGCGGGAAUCGCAGGCCCCGCUGCGCCCACUGUCCUCUCUCUUCAUGUGCACUGGUUUGAACAUCUCUUUCCGAGAAGGUCACAUGGCGGUUCAUUUACUGCCAUCUAUGACAUCAUUUCUUUGUUAAUCGACUUGCUGAACAGAUCUUUUUGCUGAAAUGGGAGCGUUUAAAUGAUUUGGGGUGGUUUGCUGCAGUCUUUAUGUUUUUUGGAAAAUACCUGUGCUUUUAAAAAGAAAGGAAAACUUCCCGCUGAAAACACAAGAUGUGUCUUUAUACAGCAGUAAUGAGUCGUGUUUAGUUAAUAGUGAUUGUCUGGGUCUGAAGUGUGAGAGAUUUCCUUUUGCAUUUUAGUUUGAUGAUAAAAUGUACCAAGUAACAAAUGUUCUUUUGAUAUUUUGCAAUAAGUCUGAUGUACAUCCAGGUAAUUGUUCUGGCACUCAGGGGAAGGGGAGUUGGGUAGAAAGAAAGUUAUUUUGUUUAAAAUCAAAGUUACUUUAGGGAAUUCUUUUGGUUCUUUUACUACUGUUGUCUCUUGGUUUUUCCCCUCCUUAAAGAA